UAUAGAUGGAUCCGCGCUGCAUUAGCUAGUUGGUAAGGUAACGGCUUACCAAGGCAACGAUGCAUAGCCGACCUGAGAGGGUGAUCGGCCACACUGGAACUGAGACACGGUCCAGACUCCUACGGGAGGCAGCAGUAGGGAAUCUUCCGCAAUGGGCGAAAGCCUGACGGAGCAACGCCGCGUGAGUGAUGAAGGUCUUCGGAUCGUAAAACUCUGUUAUUAGGGAAGAACAUAUGUGUAAGUAACUGUGCACAUCUUGACGGUACCUAAUCAGAAAGCCACGGCUAACUACGUGCC
This 297-nucleotide ribosomal RNA is filed under the name Staphylococcus aureus. RNAcentral describes it as "partial 16S ribosomal RNA". It matches the Rfam family "Bacterial small subunit ribosomal RNA", at positions 220 to 509 of the family's 1533-position model. The record is from RNAcentral. Lineage: Bacteria; Bacillati; Bacillota; Bacilli; Caryophanales; Staphylococcaceae.